Ictidomys tridecemlineatus (thirteen-lined ground squirrel) is the source of this 1471-nucleotide long non-coding RNA. RefSeq lists it as uncharacterized. NCBI's taxonomy places the organism in Eukaryota, Metazoa, Chordata, Mammalia, Rodentia, Sciuridae. The record is from RefSeq and is a predicted model, not a curated record.
ACCGCCCCCGGCUGCCCUCCUAGUCCCGCCCCGCCUGAGAGUCAAGGCUCAUUGGACAGUGGGCGAGAGAGCGGGGCUAUCAUUGGCCAAAUGCCCUGUCUAUCUCCUCUCCUCCGCAGGCCUCUGGGGGUUUGGUGGUGAACUGUGAGGGUGAGGGGAGUGUUCGCUCGCGGCUGCAUGAUCUCAGGAGGGGGCCGGAGUGCGGAGGCUAGGGACCGGGAAGGAGAAAUUAGGCGGGAUGACUCAUCCCUCGCCCUGCUUCCUUCAGACCUCCGGUGCAGUCGCCCAGGAGCAGGGGGGGGCGUGAGAAACCCCUUCCGCCGCGAGUGAGCCGGCGGAGGGGGCUGGUGCCUCUUGCCUACAGGCGUUUGGCUUCCAGCUCAGAUCCCGGCGCCGACCCACCAGGGGCAAGUGCUGCGCAGAGCGGAGGACACCCCUUUUUCCGCUGCUGGCAGCCUGAGUGGGCGCCUCUCCAGGCCAGGGUUUCCACAGGGCUUUUUGGCUUUAAGCCCGCUCCGAGAAGCCACAGAACCCCUCAUUCCGGGAGCCUGGUGGCGCAGCUGUGAGCCAGGGCAGGAGUCUCCUAGCUUCUUUCUCCCUCAAUCCCUAGUCUCCAUAAGGCGAGGUUUAACUAGGUACCCAGUGUUCUUGGGGGAACAUCAGCAUCAGUUUAGAUCUAUGCCCGCCUUCAUUUCUCGUUUUAAAUUCUGUCUCUGCUAGAGGCCGCCGUGCUUUGAUGUGAACGUGCCUCCAUCGCUUGUCACCCUCCCUGCUUCCCAAAGCCAUGGCUUCAUCUCGCUCAGCAUCUAGCUUGAGCUUUCACAAGACCAGCAGGAACGUUGGUUCAGUUGAGGCAGGAAUAGUUUGUCUAUUUCUGAGUGCCGAUGGUUUAGUAACUAGCUCUGUGAAUGAAUCACAGUGUGACAGAGGAGUCUGAAUGUUUGACUCCAAACAACAUUAUUCAAUGUCACAUGCCAUGAGCAUCUACCACUGCUUCCAGCACGGGGGUUUCUUUUUGUUCUGUAAGGUGAUGGUGAUAGUGACAUGAGUGGGAUGGAGUCGGGUGGGUGGGGUGGGGACAAGAGAGUGAUUCUAAUGUUAGUUCUUAAAUAUUAAGCAGCCUUCUCUUUCUUCUCCCCAAACAUUUCUGGAGAUAAUGGUUCCUGCCCCAUGCCUGCAGAACUGUUGUUUUGGUGAUUUAAAAGGCAAAAGAGAGAGCAAAAACAUGAGACGGAGAGAAAAGAAAAUCUUUGAAUCAAAUGACAUUCCCAGCUGGUGAUUAGUCCAUUCCAUGAAGCAUGAAGAUUGAUAACCCUGUAAUUUCAUCAGUCCUGGGGUAACUGCAGAUGUUCUAAUUUGUGUAAAGUGCUGAUUAUCUUCUGAAACUUACUAUUCACCCAAUGGUGUUCUUUAGCAGUUAUUUGAACAGCUUUUCUAUUUUUAAAAAUAUAUAAAUGUUUCCAAUGAAAAA